GUAGGUGGCAAGCGUUGUCCGGAAUUAUUGGGGCGUAAAGCGCGCGCAGGCGGUUCUUUAAGCCUGAUGUGAAAGCCCACGGGCUCAACCGUGGAGGGUCAUUGGAAAUUGGAGAACUUGAGUACAGAAGAGGAAAGCGGAAUUCCACGUGUAGCGGUGAAAUGCGUAGAGAUGUGGAGGAACACCAGUGGCGAAGGCGGCUUUCUGGUCUGUAACUGACGCUGAGGCGCGAAAGCGUGGGGAGCAAACAGGAUUAGAUACCCUGGUAGUCCACGCCGUAAACGAUGAGUGCUAAGUGUUAGGGGGUUUCCGCCCCUUAGUGCUGCAGCUAACGCAUUAAGCACUCCGCCUGGGGAGUACGGCCGCAAAGGCUG
This 374-nucleotide ribosomal RNA is filed under the name uncultured organism. RNAcentral describes it as "partial 16S ribosomal RNA". It matches the Rfam family "Bacterial small subunit ribosomal RNA", at positions 527 to 896 of the family's 1533-position model. The record is from RNAcentral.